AGAGUUUGAUCCUGGCUCAGAUUGAACGCUGGCGGCAGGCCUAACACAUGCAAGUCGAGCGGCAGCGGGAAAGUAGCUUGCUACUUUUGCCGGCGAGCGGCGGACGGGUGAGUAAUGCCUGGGAAAUUGCCCAGUCGAGGGGGAUAACAGUUGGAAACGACUGCUAAUACCGCAUACGCCCUACGGGGGAAAGCAGGGGACCUUCGGGCCUUGCGCGAUUGGAUAUGCCCAGGUGGGAUUAGCUAGUUGGUGAGGUAAUGGCUCACCAAGGCGACGAUCCCUAGCUGGUCUGAGAGGAUGAUCAGCCACACUGGAACUGAGACACGGUCCAGACUCCUACGGGAGGCAGCAGUGGGGAAUAUUGCACAAUGGGGGAAACCCUGAUGCAGCCAUGCCGCGUGUGUGAAGAAGGCCUUCGGGUUGUAAAGCACUUUCAGCGAGGAGGAAAGGUUGAUGCCUAAUACGUAUCAACUGUGACGUUACUCGCAGAAGAAGCACCGGCUAACUCCGUGCCAGCAGCCGUGGUAAU
RNAcentral lists this ribosomal RNA (529 nucleotides) under Aeromonas sp. Tf 234. RNAcentral's name for it is "bacterial SSU rRNA". It matches the Rfam family "Bacterial small subunit ribosomal RNA", at positions 8 to 524 of the family's 1533-position model. The record is from RNAcentral. Lineage: Bacteria; Pseudomonadati; Pseudomonadota; Gammaproteobacteria; Aeromonadales; Aeromonadaceae.